Molecule: long non-coding RNA, 590 nt
Filed under: Salmo salar (Atlantic salmon)
Lineage: Eukaryota; Metazoa; Chordata; Actinopteri; Salmoniformes; Salmonidae
Description: lncRNA (ENSSSAG00000092512.1)
Source: RNAcentral
GGGAGGAACAGAGAGAGUAGAACAGGAUGAGACAGGGAGGAACAGAGAGAGAGAGUAGAACAGGAUGAGACAGGGAGGAACAGAGAGAGUAGAACAGGAUGAGACAGGGAGGAACAGAGAGAGAGUAGAACAGGAUGAGACAGGGAGGAACAGAGAGAGAGUAGAACAGGAUGAGACAGGGAGGAACAGAGAGAGAGUAGAACAGGAUGAGACAGGGAGGAACAGAGAGAGAGUAGAACAGGAUGAGACAGGGAGGAACAGAGAGAGUAGAACAGGAUGAGACAGGGAGGAACAGAGAGAGUAGAACAGGAUGAGACAGGGAGGAACAGAGAGAGAGUAGAACAGGAUGAGACAGGGAGGAACAGAGAGAGGUAGAACAGGAUGAGACAGGGAGGAACAGAGAGAGUAGAACAGGAUGAGACAGGGAGGAACAGAGAGAGAGAGUAGAACAGGAUGAGACAGGGAGGAACAGAGAGAGUAGAACAGGAUGAGACAGGGAGGAACAGAGAGAGUAGAACAGGAUGAGACAGGGAGGAACAGAGAGAGAGAGUAGAACAGGAUGAGACAGGGAGGAACAGAGAGAGUAGAAC